UCCUCAAUAGCUCAAUGGUAGAGCGGUCGGCUGUUAAUCGAUUGGUCGUAGGUUCGAAUCCUACUUAGGGAG
Molecule: non-coding RNA, 72 nt
Organism: Nicotiana sylvestris (wood tobacco)
Lineage: Eukaryota; Viridiplantae; Streptophyta; Magnoliopsida; Solanales; Solanaceae
Source: Rfam